Molecule: ribosomal RNA, 765 nt
Filed under: uncultured Streptococcus sp.
Lineage: Bacteria; Bacillati; Bacillota; Bacilli; Lactobacillales; Streptococcaceae
Description: bacterial SSU rRNA
Rfam family: Bacterial small subunit ribosomal RNA
Source: RNAcentral
GACGAACGCUGGCGGCGUGCCUAAUACAUGCAAGCAGAACGCUGAAGAGAGGAGCUUGCUCUUCUUGGAUGAGUUGCGAACGGGUGAGUAACGCGUAGGUAACCUGCCUUGUAGCGGGGGAUAACUAUUGGAAACGAUAGCUAAUACCGCAUAACAAUGGAUGACACAUGUCAUUUAUUUGAAAGGGGCAAUUGCUCCACUACAAGAUGGACCUGCGUUGUAUUAGCUAGUAGGUGAGGUAACGGCUCACCUAGGCGACGAUACAUAGCCGACCUGAGAGGGUGAUCGGCCACACUGGGACUGAGACACGGCCCAGACUCCUACGGGAGGCAGCAGUAGGGAAUCUUCGGCAAUGGGGGCAACCCUGACCGAGCAACGCCGCGUGAGUGAAGAAGGUUUUCGGAUCGUAAAGCUCUGUUGUAAGUCAAGAACGAGUGUGAGAGUGGAAAGUUCACACUGUGACGGUAGCUUACCAGAAAGGGACGGCUAACUACGUGCCAGCAGCCGCGGUAAUACGUAGGUCCCGAGCGUUGUCCGGAUUUAUUGGGCGUAAAGCGAGCGCAGGCGGUUUGAUAAGUCUGAAGUUAAAGGCUGUGGCUCAACCAUAGUUCGCUUUGGAAACUGUCAAACUUGAGUGCAGAAGGGGAGAGUGGAAUUCCAUGUGUAGCGGUGAAAUGCGUAGAUAUAUGGAGGAACACCGGUGGCGAAAGCGGCUCUCUGGUCUGUAACUGACGCUGAGGCUCGAAAGCGUGGGGAGCGAACAGG